This is a long non-coding RNA of Lemur catta (Ring-tailed lemur), 1285 nucleotides long. RefSeq lists it as uncharacterized. The transcript has 3 exons. The record is from RefSeq and is a predicted model, not a curated record. Lineage: Eukaryota; Metazoa; Chordata; Mammalia; Primates; Lemuridae.
CAGCGGGAGCCUCCGAGUCCUCACAGGGGAAGCCCAUGAAUCAUCACAAACCUGUCCCCACGUGGCUCUUUCUCCCCUGCUCUGUCUGGGGACCCCGUGGCCCAGUCUAGUUGACACAUAAAAUUAACCAUCAUAGUGGCUAGCACUCUGAGGUGCGCAUCUUCCUGGGGACAAGGCUGCUGAUGGACACAGCAGCAUGAGCCAGGGCAGGGACCAGGAGGACCAGACACAGAGGGGAAAGGCCUCAGCCCAGCGAGACGCACGUGAGGCAGGGGCUGAGCAAAGAGGGAAAUAACGCGAACAAAUGUGCUUGCAAACUGUAAAGUGCUUCUGUUCAGCUAGUACUAGCCAUAGUAAACAUCUGCCUGCUCUGUCCACAGGGCUGGCCAUCGUGUCUACGUGGGGACGAUGGGGAGACCAGGCCAGGUUGGAGGAGCUCCAGGGAAAGAAGGAGGCUGAAUUCUGGUCCACAAGGGGCUGUGAGCCUGAAAGGGAAAUCGCAGGUCUGCAAAGUCUACAGUCUUUUCUGUCUGGCUCUUUAUGAAGUGUGCUACCUCUGCUGUGGCUGGUCUGCUGAGCCGCUCACUUAACAAUCGAUAGCACCUGCUAGGUGCCGACCUCCUGAUAAACUCUGGCUGGAGUCACAGAAAAACGGGACGUCAUCCCUGCCCUCUUGGCACUUGCAGUCCAGAGGGAGAGACUGACACCAAGGCAUCACCCAGAGGCACCCAGUGAGACUCAACCCCAGGACGGGCCGGGACGUGCUUUCAUCACCAGGACUGCUGGGUGAGGAUAAUGUCAGCACAGCUGGAAGGGGGGACCAAGGACAGCAGACAGAGAGACAGCGUGGCCCUGGUGACUUCAGCUGAGCUUUGCCAAGUGAGCUCUGCCUAGCCCUGGCUUGCAGAGGGCAGCAAGUCCCCUCACCCUCUGGUGACUGAGUUUUCAGAGAGCCAGUCUGGGACACAGCCACACCAGACAGAAACCAAAAGGCAUAAUAGCAAUAGCAUCAUAUGUCAUAUAUACAUGCUUUGUUACUUUAAUGUAAAAAUAUGAAAAUAGGUGUUUAUUUGAAGUUAUAUAUUUUUCUCUAUUGUUUACUUUUCUGUUCCAUAAAUGCUGUUAUUUAAACAAAACAACAAUAGGACUAGUUAAAAGGAACAAUUAGUACUAAUUAAUAGCAGGACCAAUGAAACAAAUAUGAAAAAAACCCACUAUUUUUAUAAUGUCUCUUUUUGUCCUGUGAUAUAACAAUUUAACUCUUUUGAAAACUCUUUAUUGGAUA